Arachis ipaensis is the source of this 3971-nucleotide non-coding RNA. Lineage: Eukaryota; Viridiplantae; Streptophyta; Magnoliopsida; Fabales; Fabaceae. The record is from RefSeq and is a predicted model, not a curated record.
GUCGUUUAAUACUUAGCAAUUAACAGGGAUAGCGAUUAGCAAUUAGCAAUUAGCAAUUAGCAAUUAGCAUUCAGCAAUCAACAGUCGCCUUCCCACAAGCCUUUUUUUUUUUAGCGCCAUCAAAUUCAAUUGAAAACAAUUCUCCACCACCCUUUAACCUCCCUUCUCAUUCUCAAUACAUCUCGCCAUCUCGGUUUUCAAGCUUCUUCUUUUCCGGCAUCCCACAUGUCUCUCCGACCCCAAACGCCAAAAACCGUUUCGGUCUCAUUGCGAGGGGCUUCGGCUGCUCAAACCAACAAAAACGACCCUCACAACAACCAAAACGACACACCCAUCCCCACCCUCGUGUCCGAGUUGCGAGCCACCCUCACUCGCGAUUUUGACCGAGUCGAACGCGCCUUGCUCGAAAGGGAAUCACACCUCAUCGUGGCGAUUCAACAGAAGGAAAAGGAAAUCGCGUCCCUCAAAGUGAAAGACAGUAUCCAAAGCUCGGAUAAGUUGAACCCCGAAUCACAUCUCAGGGAGUUCAGAAAUGGAGGAGCAAAGGUCGUCGUUGAGGUUAAGAAAGAGGAGAAUGUCGGUUCUGAUUCGAGCAUUGCUGGAAAGUGCAUGCAUUGUUUGGAGAUGAAUGACGAAUUGGAGAAAGAAAAGGGUGUGAGUGAGUCUCUUAGGGAUAGGAACAUGCAGUUGGAGUUUGAAAAGUCUGAGCUCUUGGAAGAGAAGAAGAAAUGGGAUGAUCAGAGAGGGGUUGUUGAGGAUCUUAUGAAGAGGAUCAUUGAAUUGGAAGCUGAGAAGUGCGGAUUAUUGGAAGAGAAAAAGAAAUGGGAUGCUGACAAGAGUGGGGUUGAUGGAUUGAGGAAGGAGGAGGGCCAUGGCGCCCAUGAGGCGUAUAGGAAGAGGAAGUUCAUUGAAUUGUGUGAGAGGGUUUCGAGGUUGAAGAGAGAGACUGCUGAGGAUGGUAAAUUGAUAUCUUUGGAUGACAAUGGAGGUGCUGAUGGCGGUGAUGGGAGCAACACUGAAGAGAAUAAAACGGUUCAGAUUGAUGAUAUUGUUGAGAAAGAUGCUGUGGAAAGGAAUGAAAAUGUUGGUCAUUCUUAAGAGAUUCAACUAUACUGAUCAUACCAAGCAAAGAUGGUGUUGGUGUAACUGCUGCUUCAGAGAUAGAACCCGAUUUGCGAAGAGAUUACGAAGACACCUUGUACAGACUAGACAGGGUAGAGCACAUCGCAGGAAGGCUUGGGCAAUUGGUAUAGAACUUACAUUUUAUUUUAUUGUGUUUUAAGCUUUGCAACAUUUAAUCUAAUUGACUAUUCUUUUUUUGUUUUUAAGCCUGCCAGAGUCUUACGGACACGACGACGCAUACCCACGCGGCCGAGCGAGCUAGUCAGGCCACUCCUUAGACGAGCAGGUUUUGAACAUGUGGCCUUCAUCCUUCAGUUCGAGCAUGAUUAUGCGUUGGUCUCUGCAUUAGUUGAGAGAUGGCGACCUGAGACACCAACUUUCAUUUGCCAUGUGGGGAGAUGAGUAUCACUCUUCAAGACGUGGCUUAUCAGUUGGGGCUUCGGAUUAGUGGAGAUCCUGUUAGUGGUUGCAUGGCCGGCUGGGAGCUUUUUUAUGAAGGACGGAGCAUUGUUGACAUAUGUCAGCAGUUACUAGGAGCUGUACCAGGACCUGCUGAUAGACAGAAAUGGAACAUCAACUUGUCCUGGUUCAGAGAGACUGUGUGCGGGAAUUUGGAAGAGGACGCAACGCCUGAGCGACUUCUUCAGUACACCAGAGGGUAUAUUAUGCAACUUAUCGGGGGAUUCUUAUUUCCGGAUCAGUCCAACACCCGAGUUCACCUCAGGUGGCUGCCUCUUUUGGAAGACCUGGAUCAAUGUGGUCAGCUGAGUUGGGGUUCUGCUGUGCUUGCCUUUUUGUACCUCAUGUUGUGCCGGGGAACAUGUUACACGCAGCAUAACAUGGGUGGUUGCAUGAGCUUCUUGUUAUCGUGGGCUUACCAUCGUAUCCCCUCAUGUCGCCCCCAGGGAUUUGACCAGUGGAGGUUUCCGUUGGUUGAGAGGUAAUAAUGCGAUCUGUUUUUUUGUUUUUAUUAUUUGAACUUACGGUGUACGGAUGUAUAAUUCUUGAUGGCUCAUUACAUUGCAGGUGGGUUGGUUAUGAGCAGCGUAAUGACUCUGAAGAGUUUAGACUUCGGUGGUGGAGACGGCUUCUCAACAACCUUGAUAUUCAUAAUGUAUGUAUUCCUUGCAUUUGUCAUUUUGUAUACCAGUUGCCUUGUUAUUUACUGUGUUAUGUGGAUAUUGCGUAGGUUGAGUGGACCCCGUAUGCUGACCCUGAUAUCCAGCAUAUUCUGCCACCGAUUGUGUUUGAGGGUGAGGAGUCAUGGAAUGCCGUCUGUCCACUGUUGUGCUUUUCGAUUGUAGAGUGGCAUUAAGUGGAUCGUGUUGUGAGGCAACUGAGUGGUUUGCAGCACAUUCCUACACGUCCACUGAACAUUGAUGAGAUGCACGUGCACGAUGGACGAUUUGGUAGGAACGAGUGGUACCCUGACUACUUGAGUGGUUGGUACGACAUGUGGCGGGACAGGGGGCUAAGUCGGGUGCGUAUUUAUCACAGCAUUGACCUGCGUCCCUCGCAGAGGUACAUACAAUGGUACGUCGGGUGGGCACAUCUAGUCUUGGUUGGGCACGGUGACCAGCAGGAUCCUAUGGCUGGACCCAUACCACCUGAUCUGUCAGAUUACACACCCCAGGCUCCUGAGCUUCGACAACCAAAGGAUGGGGAUUUACCAGAGUUGCAUCCCGGAGGAGGGCGACGGCUUAGGAGAGUCGGAGGCAAUGCUAAACAGAGACACGAGGCUCACCCGAGAGAAUAGGAGCCUAGAGAUGAUGAUAUCGGGGUCUUGGGAUUCACAAGUGCUAUCCCUGAGGAUUACCUUACACUUGGACCACCAUGUCCAACACUGUCUUCACAGGCCGUUGUAGAUGGACUCGCCGAUCCAAGUCAUCAGAUGACCCACCUAUAUAGCAGUCAUGCUUGAGUCAGCCUACUCAUGAUUAGCCUGAUCCAUUCUAUUGUUGUGUGCCUCAAUUCUAGUCACCGGAUCUAGUAUCGGAAUUUGUGAAUCAAGGAUUUGGUAUUCAACCGGGACCUAUGAUGGAUCAGUUUUAGAUUAUGGUCGGAUUGUCGUUUUCAGGUGCAGCAGGACCAUCGCUUCCACAGGUAGAGCAUACCCCGUUGUCAUGUCUGGGGGUAUCCCGGCGUAUUAUGUUCAGGGAUUUGCACUGAUGCAUGCCUCUCCCCCACCCUCAAUUUAUGCCUCACGACAUGUGGAUGAUCCUUCGUCCUGAGAUACCUCCUCACUUGUGGGUCUUACGGAUUUCAUGAUACCAUAUUUUAAAGACUAGUGUUGAUGCACCACGCGGCAGAGGGCAGAGGGCAGAAGGAAGCUGCCUCGAGCCACCCCCUCCUAAAUGUGGUGGACUCGGAGCCAAGUAGUUGUUGUUAGUUAUUACGCCUAUUUAUUUAUGACUAGAUCUUUUUACGAGGCAUGUACACCUAAUAACACACUAUGGGUUUUUAAACAACAUCCAGCCUUAGCUGGGACUUGAAUCCGAGUGCAGCUUGCAAGAGGCAUAUGGAUAUGCCAUCUGACAUCUGUGCUGGGCCUCCGCUGCGGUUUGGUAGCUUAAGUACGGUGUUGUUAAAAGGAGUUUGGAGCUGUUGGGCCCUUGUUAUUGGGGAUUGAUUUUUUUGUACAAGGACAAAAUAAAAGUUGUGUCCAAUAUGUGUAAAUAAUUUUUUGUCAUUAAUAUAUUUAAGGAUACAAAAUUAGGUGGCUACUCCAAUGAAGAUUUAAUGAUUGUCAUCAUGUGAAGAUACAUCAUUUUGACCAUUGGAUAAUAGAUUGCAGGGCUUGAUUUUUAUUUAAAAUAAAAGUGUUACUUUUAUUUAAAGUGUUGUUAAAC